Molecule: long non-coding RNA, 321 nt
Filed under: Physcomitrium patens
Lineage: Eukaryota; Viridiplantae; Streptophyta; Bryopsida; Funariales; Funariaceae
Description: long non-coding RNA (PPAT_LNC007075)
Source: RNAcentral
AGGUACAUCAAAAAGAUAUUUAAUGUUGCCAAAGAUCUAUCAAUGAAUGAAGAAUUUCAUUACCAUGGUUCUAGUAGCAGGGAGGUUUUGUUUUAGCACAACAAGACCCCUUAACAAAAAUUACUUUGUUUUAUGACAAAUUCAAAAGUGAUGAAAUUGAGUACAUAAGCAAAGAAUGACUGUUAUCAUAAUACUAAAUUUUAAAAUCUUAAAUUUUAAUUAUUUCUUUGCACACAAAAAAUAAAAAUGAAAAUGCGAAAUUAUUCUUAUUUUUUAAAUAAAAAAUAACAAAUCAACAAGACAUAUAAAUAACAUGAAAAA